ACUCAAAGGAAUUGACGGGGGCCCGCACAAGCGGUGGAGCAUGUGGUUCAAUUCGACGCAACGCGAAGAACCUUACCUAGGUUUGAACUGCAGGUGACAGGUCUGGAAACAGGCCCUUUCCUCUGGAACUCCUGCAGAGGUGCUGCAUGGCUGUCGUCAGCUCGUGUCGUGAGAUGUUGGGUUAAGUCCCGCAACGAGCGCAACCCUUGCCCUUAGUUGCCAUCGGGUAAAGCCGGGCACUCUAAGGGGACUGCCUCGGAAAACGGGGAGGAAGGUGGGGAUGAUGUCAAGUCAUCAUGGCCUUUAUGCCUAGGGCUACACACGUGCUACAAUGGGCGGUACAAAGGGCUGCGAACCCGCGAGGGGGAGCCAAUCCCAUAAAACCGUCCUCAGUUCGGAUUGCAGUCUGCAACUCGACUGCAUGAAGGUGGAAUCGCUAGUAAUCGCGGAUCAGCACGCCGCGGUGAAUACGUUCCCGGGCCUUGCACACACCGCCCGU
Molecule: ribosomal RNA, 499 nt
Filed under: uncultured bacterium
Lineage: Bacteria
Description: partial 16S ribosomal RNA
Rfam family: Bacterial small subunit ribosomal RNA
Source: RNAcentral